UGCGUAGGCGGAUUAAUAAGCCAGUGGUGAAAACCUGCAGCUUAACUGUAGACUUGCCAUUGAUACUGUUAGUCUUGAGUACGGUCAAGGUAGGCGGAAUGUGUAAUGUAGCGGUGAAAUGCUUAGAUAUUACACAGAACACCGAUUGCGAAGGCAGCUUACUGGGCCAUUACUGACGCUGAGGCACGAAAGCGUGGGGAGCGAACAGGAUUAGAUACCCUGGUAGUCC
RNAcentral lists this ribosomal RNA (229 nucleotides) under uncultured bacterium. RNAcentral describes it as "partial 16S ribosomal RNA". It matches the Rfam family "Bacterial small subunit ribosomal RNA", at positions 568 to 796 of the family's 1533-position model. The record is from RNAcentral.